GUGGCGAACGGGUGAGUAACACGUGAGCAACCUGCCCUGGACUCUGGGAUAAGCGCUGGAAACGGCGUCUAAUACUGGAUAUGAGACGUGAUCGCAUGGUCGUGUUUGGAAAGAUUUUUCGGUCUGGGAUGGGCUCGCGGCCUAUCAGCUUGUUGGUGAGGUAAUGGCUCACCAAGGCGUCGACGGGUAGCCGGCCUGAGAGGGUGACCGGCCACACUGGGACUGAGACACGGCCCAGACUCCUACGGGAGGCAGCAGUGGGGAAUAUUGCACAAUGGGCGGAAGCCUGAUGCAGCAACGCCGCGUGAGGGAUGACGGCCUUCGGGUUGUAAACCUCUUUUAGCAGGGAAGAAGCGAGAGUGACGGUACCUGCAGAAAAAGCGCCGGCUAACUACGUGCCAGCAGCCGCGGUAAUACGUAGGGCGCAAGCGUUAUCCGGAAUUAUUGGGCGUAAAGAGCUCGUAGGCGGUUUGUCGCGUCUGCUGUGAAAUCCCGAGGCUCAACCUCGGGCCUGCAGUGGGUACGGGCAGACUAGAGUGCGGUAGGGGAGAUUGGAAUUCCUGGUGUAGCGGUGGAAUGCGCAGAUAUCAGGAGGAACACCGAUGGCGAAGGCAGAUCUCUGGGCCGUAACUGACGCUGAGGAGCGAAAGGGUGGGGAGCAAACAGGCUUAGAUACCCUGGUAGUCCACCCCGUAAACGUUGGGAACUAGUUGUGGGGACCAUUCCACGGUUUCCGUGACGCAGCUAACGCAUUAAGUUCCCCGCCUGGGGAGUACGGCCGCAAGGCUAAAACUCAAAGGAAUUGACGGGGACCCGCACAAGCGGCGGAGCAUGCGGAUUAAUUCGAUGCAACGCGAAGAACCUUACCAAGGCUUGACAUAUACGAGAACGGGCCAGAAAUGGUCAACUCUUUGGACACUCGUAAACAGGUGGUGCAUGGUUGUCGUCAGCUCGUGUCGUGAGAUGUUGGGUUAAGUCCCGCAACGAGCGCAACCCUCGUUCUAUGUUGCCAGCACGUAAUGGUGGGAACUCAUGGGAUACUGCCGGGGUCAACUCGGAGGAAGGUGGGGAUGACGUCAAAUCAUCAUGCCCCUUAUGUCUUGGGCUUCACGCAUGCUACAAUGGCCGGUACAAAGGGCUGCAAUACCGUGAGGUGGAGCGAAUCCCAAAAAGCCGGUCCCAGUUCGGAUUGAGGUCUGCAACUCGACCUCAUGAAGUCGGAGUCGCUAGUAAUCGCAGAUCAGCAACGCUGCGGUGAAUACGUUCCCGGGUCUUGUACACACCGCCCGUCAAGUCAUGA
Molecule: ribosomal RNA, 1300 nt
Filed under: Microbacterium sp.
Lineage: Bacteria; Bacillati; Actinomycetota; Actinomycetes; Micrococcales; Microbacteriaceae
Description: bacterial SSU rRNA
Rfam family: Bacterial small subunit ribosomal RNA
Source: RNAcentral